AGGAUCAUUACUGAAUUGUCAACAAGAGUUGUUGCUGGUCCUCAAGUGGGGGCAUGUGCACACUCUGUUCACACAUCCACUCACACCCUGUGCACCCUCUGUAGUUCUAUGGUUCAGGGGGCCUGUCCUCCUGCUGUGGUUCUGCAUCUUUACACACACACUGUAACAAAGUCUCAUGGAAUGCAUGUCGCGUUUAACGCAAUACAAUACAACUUUCAGCAACGGAUCUCUUGGCUCUCGCAUCGAUGAAGAACGCAGCGAAAUGCGAUAAGUAAUGUGAAUUGCAGAAUUCAGUGAAUCAUCGAAUCUUUGAACGCACCUUGCGCCCUUUGGCCAUUCCGAAGGGCAUGCCUGUUUGAGUAUCAUGAACACCUCAACCCAUUAUGGUUUUCCAUGAUGAGCUUGGACUUUGGGGGUUUUGCUGGCCUACAGUCGGCUCCUCUAAAAUAAAUCAGCUUACCAGUGUUUGGUGGGUAUCAUGGGUGUGAUAACUAUCUACGCUUGUGGUUUUUCCACCAGGUAACCUUCAGCAGUGGAGGUUCACUGGAGCUCAUAGAUGUCUCUCCUCAGUGAGGACAGCCCCUUGAAUGGUUGAUCUCAAAUCAAGGAGGACUACCCGCUGAACUUAA
Molecule: ribosomal RNA, 629 nt
Filed under: uncultured Thelephoraceae
Lineage: Eukaryota; Fungi; Basidiomycota; Agaricomycetes; Thelephorales; Thelephoraceae
Description: eukaryotic LSU rRNA
Rfam family: 5.8S ribosomal RNA (bases 211-365)
Source: RNAcentral